GCCUGGCUGGCCCAAUCAGUAGAGCAUGUGACUUUUGAUCUUGGGAUCAUGAGUUCAAGCCCCAUGUUGGGCA
RNAcentral lists this transfer RNA (73 nucleotides) under Mustela putorius furo (domestic ferret). It matches the Rfam family "tRNA". From Rfam's summary of the family: Transfer RNA (tRNA) molecules are approximately 80 nucleotides in length. Their secondary structure includes four short double-helical elements and three loops (D, anti-codon, and T loops). Lineage: Eukaryota; Metazoa; Chordata; Mammalia; Carnivora; Mustelidae. The record is from Rfam by way of RNAcentral.